This 443-nucleotide ribosomal RNA is filed under the name uncultured bacterium. RNAcentral's name for it is "partial 16S ribosomal RNA". It matches the Rfam family "Bacterial small subunit ribosomal RNA", at positions 338 to 795 of the family's 1533-position model. The record is from RNAcentral.
CCUACGGGAGGCAGCAGUGGGGGAUAUUGGACAAUGGGGGGAACCCUGAUCCAGCGACGCCGCGUGAGUGAAGAAGUAUUUCGGUAUGUAAAGCUCUGUCAGCAGGGAAGAAAGAAAUGACGGUACCUGACCAAGAAGCCCCGGCUAACUACGUGCCAGCAGCCGCGGUAAUACGUAGGGGGCAAGCGUUAUCCGGAAUUACUGGGGAUAAAGGGGGCGUAGACGGUUAAGUAAGUCUGGAGGGAAAGGCCGGGGCCCAACCCCGGGACUGCUCUGGAAACUAUUGAACUUGAGUGCAGGAGAGGUAAGCGGAAUUCCUAGUGUAGCGGUGAAAUGCGUAGAUAUUAGGAGGAACACCAGUGGCGAAGGCGGCUUACUGGACUGUAACUGACGUUGAGGCUCGAAAGCGUGGGGAGCAAACAGGAUUAGAUACCCCAGUAGUC